This 289-nucleotide ribosomal RNA is filed under the name uncultured Synergistaceae bacterium. Its description in RNAcentral is "partial 16S ribosomal RNA". It matches the Rfam family "Bacterial small subunit ribosomal RNA", at positions 1096 to 1382 of the family's 1533-position model. Lineage: Bacteria; Thermotogati; Synergistota; Synergistia; Synergistales; Synergistaceae. The record is from RNAcentral.
GCGCAACCCCUCGCAUUCAGUUGCCAUCGGGUGAAGCCGGGCACUCUGGAAGGACUGCCAUCGACAAGAUGGAGGAAGGUGGGGACGACGUCAAGUCAUCAUGGCCCUUAUGUCCAGGGCGACACACGUGCUACAAUGGCCGGCACAACGGGAAGCGAGUUCGCGAGGACGAGCGGAUCCCUUAGAGCCGGUCGCAGUUCGGAUUGAAGUCUGCAACUCGACUUCAUGAAGCUGGAAUCGCUAGUAAUCGCAGAUCAGCCAAGCUGCGGUGAAUACGUUCCCGGGCCUU